GAUGAAGAACGUAGCGAAAUGCGAUAAGUAAUGUGAAUUGCAGAAUUCAGUGAAUCAUCGAAUCUUUGAACGCACAUUGCGCCCGCCAGUAUUCUGGCGGACAUGCCUGUCCGAGCGUCAUUUCAACCAUCAAGCCCCGGGCUUGUGUUGGGGACCUGCGUCCGACGCAGGCCCUGAAAACCAGCGGCGGGCUCGCUGUCCACACCGAGCGUAGUAACUAACCUCGCUAUGGAGUGGCGCGGGCGCCUGCCGUAAAACCCCCAAUUUCACAAGGUUGACCUCGGAUCAGGUAGGAAUACCCGCUGAACUUAAGCAUAUCAAUAAGCGGAGGA
RNAcentral lists this unclassified non-coding RNA (332 nucleotides) under soil metagenome. Its description in RNAcentral is "partial contains 5.8S ribosomal RNA, internal transcribed spacer 2, and large subunit ribosomal RNA". The stretch from base 1 to 120 matches the Rfam family "5.8S ribosomal RNA", at positions 35 to 154 of the family's 154-position model. The record is from RNAcentral.